CCGUCCCCCAGUACUACUGCAUAUAAGGUAUAACUUUACACCGUCCCCCAGUACUACUGCAUAUAAGGUAUAACUUUAGACCGCCCACCAGUACUACUGUAUAUAAGGUAUAACUUCAGAACGCCCUCCAGUACUACUGCAUAUAAGGUAUAACUUUAGACCGACCCCGUACUACUGCAUAUAAGGUAUAACUUUACACCGUCCCCCAGUACUACUGCAUAUAAGGUAUAACUUCAGACCGUCCCCCAGUACUACUGCAUAUAAGGUAUAACUUCAGACCGUCCCCCAGUACUACUGCAUAUAAGGUAUAACUUUAGACCGUCCCCCAGUACUACUGCAUAUAAGGUAUAACUUCAGACCGUCCCCCAGUACUACUGCAUAUAAGGUAUAACUUUAGACCGUCCCCCAGUACUACUGCAUAUAAGGUAUAACUUUACACCGUCCCCCAGUACUACUGCAUAUAAGGUAUAACUUUAGACCGCCCACCAGUACUACUGCAUAUAAGGUAUAACUUCAGAACGCCCUCCAGUACUACUGCAUAUAAGGUAUAACUUUAGACCGUCCCCCAGUACUACUGCAUAUAAGGUAUAACUUCAGACCGCCCCCAGUACUACUGCAUAUAAGGUAUAACUUUAGACCGUCCCCCAGUACUACUGCAUAUAAGGUAUAACUUCAGACCGUCCCCCAGUACUACUGCAUAUAAGGUAUAACUUCAGACCGUCCCCCAGUACUACUGCAUAUAAGGUAUAACUUCAGACCGUCCCCCAGUACUACUGCAUAUAAGGUAUAACUUUAGA
Long non-coding RNA from Oncorhynchus keta (chum salmon), 797 nucleotides. RefSeq lists it as uncharacterized. NCBI's taxonomy places the organism in Eukaryota, Metazoa, Chordata, Actinopteri, Salmoniformes, Salmonidae. The record is from RefSeq and is a predicted model, not a curated record. The transcript has 5 exons.